UCCCUGGUGGCUCAGAUGGUAACGCAUCUGCCUGCAGUGCAGGAGACCCGGGUUUGAUUCCUGGGUUGGGAA
RNAcentral lists this transfer RNA (72 nucleotides) under Ovis aries (sheep). It matches the Rfam family "tRNA". From Rfam's summary of the family: Transfer RNA (tRNA) molecules are approximately 80 nucleotides in length. Their secondary structure includes four short double-helical elements and three loops (D, anti-codon, and T loops). The record is from Rfam by way of RNAcentral. Lineage: Eukaryota; Metazoa; Chordata; Mammalia; Artiodactyla; Bovidae.